AUUCAAGCCAUUGAUUCAUUCGUGAACCCUCGCGCCGCAGUGCUACGGUGUUCUGCUGUGUGUUUGUUUGGACCGAUUUUCGUUGACAGGGCGAAAACAGACUGUUUUAACUUGCAACAUUGUGUCUAAAAUCCUAAUAUUAACAAUGAAAUCAACACGCACCAUAUUGAAGGAAAGUGGACGCCAAGCAGGCCAGCCAGAGUAGCCUCCAUCCUGUACAGCCCAUCACUGAGGACCCGUGUGCGCUUUCCUCCAUACAGAGGUCACUAGGAGGAUGGUUUGUUGUAGCCGAAUAGCCCCACAGGGAAGUACUUCACAUGAGUGGGCCACUGAGACGCCAGCUGGAAGAACUUCACAUCAUUCCACUCCAUUCCAUCUACAGACACUGAAACAUGUUCAUUUCAUGAGUCAAAUGUCAUUCUGCAUUAUUUCUAGGUCACUAGUUAAUCAAAUGUGUGUCAUGGCUCGUGGACAAAAAAAAAUUAUACUAAGGCAUUCUGAAAUUCAUGUUCAUUUUUACAUUAUACAAUGAAUAUUCAGUUAGGAAAAUGGAAACUAAACAUUUUGCCAAUGGUCUCAGACCUUUCAGGGCCAUAAACACCAAAGACGUUUAGUUUAGUGGUCAAUUCUUAAUCUUAACUUUGACCCCUCAAAUUUGGAAUAUCUGGUUAUCAUCUUUGGACACUAGGAAUCAUAUUUUCACAUUAUUUGUAAUAAUGUGUAAACCUUUUAAACAGUGAAUGUCUUGGUAAGCUUGACUCAAUUCCUUUGCAUCACA
Molecule: long non-coding RNA, 778 nt
Organism: Cyprinus carpio (common carp)
Lineage: Eukaryota; Metazoa; Chordata; Actinopteri; Cypriniformes; Cyprinidae
Exons: 4
Source: RefSeq, a predicted model, not a curated record